Molecule: ribosomal RNA, 372 nt
Filed under: uncultured organism
Description: bacterial SSU rRNA
Rfam family: Bacterial small subunit ribosomal RNA
Source: RNAcentral
CGUAGGGGGCAAGCGUUGUCCGGAUUUAUUGGGCGUAAAGCGCUCGCAGGUGGUUCGUUGCGUCGUGCGUGAAAGACCCCGGCUCAACUGGGGGGUGUCGUGCGAUACGGGCGAACUGGAGGCCAGUAGGGGGAUGCGGAAUUCCGGGUGUAGUGGUGGAAUGCGUAGAGAUCCGGAGGAACACCAGCGGCGGAGGCGGCAUCCUGGACUGGUCCUGACACUCAGGAGCGAAAGCGUGGGGAGCGAUCCGGAUUAGAUACCCGGGUAGUCCACGCUGUAAACGAUGAGUACUAGGUGUCGGGGGUAUCGACCCCCUCGGUGCCGCAGCUAACGCGAUAAGUACUCCGCCUGGGGACUACGGCCGCAAGGCUA